Pipra filicauda (Wire-tailed manakin) is the source of this 428-nucleotide long non-coding RNA. RefSeq lists it as uncharacterized. The record is from RefSeq and is a predicted model, not a curated record. NCBI's taxonomy places the organism in Eukaryota, Metazoa, Chordata, Aves, Passeriformes, Pipridae. The transcript has 3 exons.
GAGCGCUGUGGGCCCGGCCGCUGCAGGGCCCCGCGGAGGAUCCCUCCCGAGAGGCAGCGCACACGGCCGCAGUGACAGAUAAAGCCAUCAAGGACAGACCCUGAUAUGCUACAGUAAUUAAAACAGAAAAAUCAGCAAACUGCUUCCAGAGAAACUGCUUGUGCAUGCAGAAGGAUACUCUGCUUCUUGGUUCCUCCAAGGACACUGAAUAUGGUGAUGGUAUCUCAAUCUAAGACUUCAGUCCAACAGAAACACAACUGCUAUCAAGAUGUGACUUACUGUAACAGUCUGCUACUCCUAGCUGGGCGAUGUUUGAAUAUCCUUCUUCCAAGUCAUCAGAGAAUUUCCAUUUACCAGUCAAGUUCUUUCAUUCUAUUUUAUAAAAUAAAGCAUGCAUAUAUAUCUAAGCAGCCUUCAUAACAGAAGAA